GAUGAACGCUGGCGGCGUGCUUAACACAUGCAAGUCGAACGAUGAUCCGGUGCUUGCACCGGGGAUUAGUGGCGAACGGGUGAGUAACACGUGAGUAACCUGCCCUUGACUCUGGGAUAAGCCUGGGAAACUGGGUCUAAUACCGGAUAUGACUCCUCAUCGCAUGGUGGGGGUGGAAAGCUUUUGCGGUUUUGGAUGGACUCGCGGCCUAUCAGCUUGUUGGUGAGGUAAUGGCUUACCAAGGCGACGACGGGUAGCCGGCCUGAGAGGGUGACCGGCCACACUGGGACUGAGACACGGCCCAGACUCCUACGGGAGGCAGCAGUGGGGAAUAUUGCACAAUGGGCGCAAGCCUGAUGCAGCGACGCCGCGUGAGGGAUGACGGCCUUCGGGUUGUAAACCUCUUUCAGUAGGGAAGAAGCGAAAGUGACGGUACCUGCAGAAGAAGCGCCGGCUAACUACGUG
Molecule: ribosomal RNA, 465 nt
Filed under: uncultured bacterium
Lineage: Bacteria
Description: bacterial SSU rRNA
Rfam family: Bacterial small subunit ribosomal RNA
Source: RNAcentral